Molecule: long non-coding RNA, 2252 nt
Organism: Micropterus dolomieu (smallmouth bass)
Lineage: Eukaryota; Metazoa; Chordata; Actinopteri; Centrarchiformes; Centrarchidae
Exons: 4
Source: RefSeq, a predicted model, not a curated record
CCUGUGUUGCUCCCGCCCUGCUCAUUAGUCCCUGUGUGUGUAUAUACCUGGUGUUUCUGUCUUGUCUUUGUCAGGUCAUUGUUCAGGUACCUCAAGGAGCUGUCAGUUCUCCAGUCUUGUUCACUCUAUAUACCAAUGAGUGUAGAAGUAGUCAGUCCAACAAACAUGUCAUAAAAUUCUCUGACGAAACAAUUAUUUUAAGUUUUUGCGCGUUGGUGACUGCCCUUCAUCUUAUUACAGGGAGACUGUCUCAUUUAAAGCUUGGUGUGUGAGGAAUUCUCUCAUUCUUAAUAAUUUGAAAACUAAAGCGAUGAUAUUUGAUCCCAGGGAAAUGAGAGCCCACGACAACUUCAUACAAGUACUUGGGUAAUUAGAUAACCGAUUAAAAGGAAAUGUAUAUGUCAACUCUUUGUGUGCCAAACUGGCCCAAAGACUGCAUUUUCUCCGCAGAUUGAGACUGUUUGGGUGAUUCGUAACAGUUCUGGAGGGCGCAGACGAAUGAUGUCAUCCUGCUGACAGGGGAGUCAGAUCAGAAAACACUUCCAUGUGUUUCUGUCGUUUAACUUGUGGGCUCUUCCCAAACUGAUCAGAGCAGCCACAACAGCAGUAACUCCAACUGCUACCACCACAAUACCAAGGCUCACACUUGGACCCAUUACAGUUUUUCUGUCAUCAGGCUGGACACCGAGGACUACAUCUGCCCUGGCUGCCCUCAGGCAAGCACACACGCUACACACACGCGUGCGCACACACACACACAGGGCAGAGGGCAGUGCGGAGGUGCACGUACUGUAUAAUCUUCAGGAAGUGAUUAGGGGGUGUGAGAUCAAAGGUUUUGUGCAACAGGAAAACAUUCCUCCCUCCGUUCGCCUUCGGGGAUAGAAGGACGGACAGCUUCCUCGUGUUUAAAUCUGACUGCCUCGAAACAACUGACACUCAAACUUCUUUUAUGGUAACAAAAGCCCUGAUCCAAAACUGUUACGGUACGAACUCAUUUAAAUCCAUAUGUCUGAUAAUAGGCCUACAUGCUUUUCAUAGAGGAAGAUUUUUAGUUAAUGCUUUUUAAACAAACAUUUUCAGGAAGGAUUCUUUGAAGCGUGAGGAAAACAUAAUUUAAUAAUAAAUACCCUUAUAAUGCUCUAUAAUGCCCUAUAAAACACACAUUAAAAUUAUAAAACUUUAGGAAAAUCUAUUAAUAAAUACACAUAAAACACAACUGUGAGAUGUGAGACUUGUCAGAUUUUACAUAAAAAACAGAUGAUCAUCUUGUGUAUUAUGAUGCAUUGUUAUAGAUGAAACUACCCAACAGUGUGUUAAGUAAUAUAAUUUAAUAAAAUACAGCUUAAAUGUUAAUGCUUUAACAAAUAUAAUCCCACAAUCAGGGUGUGAAACACAGGAGAGCUAUUUGGAGCUCAGCUCCCCUGUAAGAGACAUGAGCUCCCCAGAAAGCCUCAUUGGAGAAAUUUUAAGGAGAGUAAAAUUUUAAGUAUUGUAAUUUUUGGUACCAUUAUUUUUUUCUGUGUAAAUUUAUAUUUUUCUUUAGGUCCCUGUACUAAAUAGUAGACUAAUAGUAAACCACUUGUGAAAGUGCGGGUUUAUUCGCACAUAACAGUUUCUGAUCAUUUGUAUGUAAUAACAGUGCUGUCUAUUCCUGCUGUGGCACAUCCAUGCGUGAAGGCACAUGUUCAUAAUUAUCAUGGGAUGCAACUUAAGUCUGGUCUGUUUAAUAAAGUAAUGCAAACCAUUGCCUGUCCACUGUGCAUUGGGAUUUUAUUGUUUCUCUUGUUUCUUUGUUAUGCCAGGCCAAAUAUUCUCCAUAUGAUUUGAAAUGUAUUAAUAGUAGUUUUACACAAGGGCACAAUGAGUUUGUCAUCAUGGGUCUUGUGUGUGGCAUUAGAUGUCAUGGUGCUUCAUAAAGAGCAGGUGAUCAUAUGGGAUGUUUAGAUGCAGUGUCCCUUUGAGGCAGAUGAACAGUAAGCAGAUAAUUACCACUUACAACCAUGUUUUCUACAUUUGAGAUAUCUCCAUUUUAAGUCAGCCAAACUCCAAACUCAUGCAAGUAUAAUGCCAACACCAAUUGUAGUGGACAGUGGUAAAAAGAUAAAGACAAAAAUAAUUAUUUGUUUAAAUUAGGUUUGUUGAAAGUGGAAAUGUUUCUGAAGGUUCUUGAAACUCCAUAGUGCUUUACACUUGCAGUACUGUAUUUACACUGUGUAACACUUGUGUGUCAGAAAAACAGUUAUUUUGUUGAA